This 600-nucleotide ribosomal RNA is filed under the name uncultured bacterium. RNAcentral's name for it is "bacterial SSU rRNA". It matches the Rfam family "Bacterial small subunit ribosomal RNA", at positions 110 to 715 of the family's 1533-position model. The record is from RNAcentral.
AUUACACGUGAGCACCUGCCCUGAUCUGGGAUAGCGCUGGAAACGGGGUCUAUACUGGAUAUGUGACGUGACCGCAUUGGUCUGNGUCUGGAAAGAAUUUCGGGUGGGGAUGGGCUCGCGGCUAUUCAACUUGUUGGUGAGGUAAUGGCUCACCAAGGCGUCACGGAUAGCCGGCUGAAAAGGUGAACGGCACACUGGGGACUGAAACACGGCCAACUCCUACGGGGAGGCACAUGGGGGAAUAUUGCACGAUGGGGCGCAAGCCUGAUGCAGCAUGCCGCGUUGUUAUGAAGAAGGCCUUCGGGUUGUAAAAGUACUUUCAGCGGGGAGGAAGGUGUUGUGGUUAAUAACCACAGCAAUUGACGUUACCCGCAGAAAAGCACCGGCUAACUCCGUGCCAGCAGCCGCGGUAAUACGGAGGGUGCAAGCGUUAAUCGGAAUUACUGGGCGUAAAGCGCACGCAGCGGUCUGUCAAGUCGGAUGUGAAAUCCCCGGGCUCAACCUGGGAACUGCAUUCGAAACUGGCAGGCUAGAGUCUUGUAAGGGGGGUAAAUUCCAGGUGUACGGUGAAAUGCGUAAGAUCUGGAGGAAUACCGGUGG